CUGGGACAGAACAGCAGCCACUGCUGCCACGUCUGGGUGGGGAGAGCCUGCAAGGUGCCAGGCACCUAACAUCCAUCGUCUCCCCCCUCAGCACCCCUCUCGAGAGGCACUUCAUUAAGCUCAUUUCACAGAUGGGGAGACUGAGGCUCCGAGACGUCAUCGCCUUGUCCUGUAUCUCAUAGAGAGUGUCUGUGGCAGAAAUCAUCAGGAGGGUGGCGUCUCCCCAUCCCCUGUGCUGGCCACGGGUGUCUCCUGACCACAUGCCACCUGAGUGCAUCCGGCUGAUGGAGCAGUGCUGGGAGGAGGCCCCUGAGGACAGACCCAGCCUGGACCAGACCUACCCCCAGUGGCCAUCCUUAAGGAGCAUUGUUAUCAUCUUGGCUUUACAGGAGAGAAACUGAGGCACAGAGAGCUCCCACAGGGCCAACCCAUCCAGCCCGAGGUGACACGCGCAGGCCUCCCCUUCCGCCCUCCACUCCCCAGCUGCAGCAGCGCGUUGCCGAGGAGAGGCUCAGCAAGGAGAGGUGCGCCCAGACAGGCAAUGAGGGAGCGAGGGGCAGGAAGACGGAUCGAGGAGAAACUCACGGUGUCCUCUGAAAAGCCUCACCACGUGCCCUCCCCACCUCAGCUCUGGCAUCCGGGGCACUGUCUACACUUCACAGACGAGAAAUCUGGACCUCAGAGCAAAUGAGCGCUCAGUGGCCACAUGAGGGUGGGUGCAGAGCCGGGACAAGCAACUGGUUCUUAGAACCCCAGCAGGGACUCUUUCCAGAGAUCGGAGAUUGCCGUGGCCAGCAAGGCGGGGCGACCGUGGGGGAAGAUGCUGCCUCAGGCCCAGCGGCAGAGGAGGCAGAAAAGGGCACAUGGUACAAUCAGCACAUGGAAGGUGGGGAGUGCGUCGGGGGCUGAGGGUCCGGAUGCCUGCAGAAUGCUGGCCUGGGCAAGUUGAUUCUCUGUCGAGCCUCAGCCUCCUUAACAGUUGCCUGGGAAGACCGACUCUGGCCUAACUUGCCAUACUGGAGAGACCAAUGUUAAGUAAAAAAAAACGAAAGAAAAAAAGGUGAUUCCCUGAAAAGGAGAGAGUGGGUGAGGAACUGGAGAAAGAGCACGGACCUUGAAGUCAAAAGACCCGAGUUUAAGUUCACUUAACAUUGUUCUGGGAGUACCAGCCGACGCAAUUAAACAGGAAAACGCAUAUUAGAAAGGAAGAAGAAAAUGAUGGUAUUUGCAGAUCCUAUGACUGUGCUCCUGGGCAAUGCAAGGGAAACAGUGUAACAUUCCAAGUGAUAAAAUAAUUCAGCAGGCUGGCAGAUGACAAGAUUAAUAUAUAAAAGUGCGAAAGCCAGUUCCACCACGGUGAGGUCCUCGCCAGUCGUUUCACCUCUCAGAUCCUUCGUUUCUUCAUUUGAAAGGGAGCCCUCCUUGCAGGUAACCUUGUAGUCAGCUUCGUGUCCUUGGUGUCUCAAGGUCAUCAGCUAUCACGCCCACCCCCACUGACCUUUAAUGCUUAUGCCUCUGCCUUUAACAGGUAAUACAAAAUGGGGGGACUUUGGGGGCCGCUG
Equus asinus (donkey) is the source of this 1562-nucleotide long non-coding RNA. The record is from Ensembl. Lineage: Eukaryota; Metazoa; Chordata; Mammalia; Perissodactyla; Equidae.